UACGUAGGGUGCAAGCGUUAAUCGGAAUUACUGGGCGUAAAGCGUGCGCAGGCGGUGAUGUAAGACAGAUGUGAAAUCCCCGGGCUCAACCUGGGAACUGCAUUUGUGACUGCAUCGCUGGAGUACGGCAGAGGGGGAUGGAAUUCCGCGUGUAGCAGUGAAAUGCGUAGAUAUGCGGAGGAACACCGAUGGCGAAGGCAAUCCCCUGGGCCCGUACUGACGCUCAUGCACGAAAGCGUGGGGAGCAAACAGG
Molecule: ribosomal RNA, 253 nt
Filed under: uncultured bacterium
Lineage: Bacteria
Description: partial 16S ribosomal RNA
Rfam family: Bacterial small subunit ribosomal RNA
Source: RNAcentral